AGGACGAACGCUGGCGGCGUGCUUAACACAUGCAAGUGGAGCGACGAACCAGGCUUCGGCCUGGGGCAGAGCCGCGAACGGGUGAGUAACACGUGGGUAACCUGCCCUGAUGAUUGGGACAACCCGAGGAAACUCGGGCUAAUACCAAAUGUGCCCUCUGGCCUCAAGGCCUCUGGGGAAAGGAAGCUUCGGCCUCCGCAUUGGGAUGGGCCCGCGGCCCAUUAGCUUGUUGGUGAGGUAACGGCUCACCAAGGCUACGAUGGGUAGCUGGUCUGAGAGGACGAUCAGCCACACUGGGACUGAGACACGGCCCAGACUCCUACGGGAGGCAGCAGUGGGGAAUCUUGCGCAAUGCGCGAAAGCGUGACGCAGCAACGCCGCGUGGGGGAAGACGGCCUUCGGGUUGUAACCCUUUCAGUUGGGACGAAGCUUUGCCGGUGAACAGCCGGUUGGAGUGACGGUACCUUCAGAGAAGCCCGGCUAACUACGUGCCAGCAGCCGCGGUAAUCUA
This 511-nucleotide ribosomal RNA is filed under the name uncultured bacterium. RNAcentral describes it as "SSU rRNA". It matches the Rfam family "Bacterial small subunit ribosomal RNA", at positions 26 to 527 of the family's 1533-position model. The record is from RNAcentral.